RNAcentral lists this ribosomal RNA (429 nucleotides) under bacterium. Its description in RNAcentral is "partial 16S ribosomal RNA". It matches the Rfam family "Bacterial small subunit ribosomal RNA", at positions 355 to 776 of the family's 1533-position model. The record is from RNAcentral.
UAGGGAAUCUUCGGCAAUGGGGGCAACCCUGACCGAGCAACGCCGCGUGAGUGAAGAAGGUUUUCGGAUCGUAAAGCUCUGUUGUAAGAGAAGAACGUGUGUGAGAGUGGAAAGUUCACACAGUGACGGUAACUUACCAGAAAGGGACGGCUAACUACGUGCCAGCAGCCGCGGUAAUACGUAGGUCCCGAGCGUUGUCCGGAUUUAUUGGGCGUAAAGCGAGCGCAGGCGGUUUAAUAAGUCUGAAGUUAAAGGCAGUGGCUUAACCAUUGUUCGCUUUGGAAACUGUUAAACUUGAGUGCAGAAGGGGAGGGUGGAAUUCCAUGUGUAGCGGUGAAAUGCGUAGAUAUAUGGAGGAACACCGGUGGCGAAAGCGGCUCUCUGGUCUGUAACUGACGCUGAGGCUCGAAAGCGUGGGGAGCAAACAGG